Molecule: ribosomal RNA, 497 nt
Filed under: uncultured bacterium
Lineage: Bacteria
Description: partial 16S ribosomal RNA
Rfam family: Bacterial small subunit ribosomal RNA
Source: RNAcentral
GAUGAACGCUGGCGGCGUGCCUAAUACAUGCAAGUCGAGCGAACGGACGAGAAGCUUGCUUCUCUGAUGUUAGCGGCGGACGGGUGAGUAACACGUGGAUAACCUACCUAUAAGACUGGGAUAACUUCGGGAAACCGGAGCUAAUACCGGAUAAUAUUUUGAACCGCAUGGUUCAAAAGUGAAAGACGGUCUUGCUUCCACUUAUAGAUGGAUCCGCGCUGCAUUAGCUAGUUGGUAAGGUAACGGCUUACCAAGGCAACGAUGCAUAGCCGACCUGAGAGGGUGAUCGGCCACACUGGAACUGAGACACGGUCCAGACUCCUACGGGAGGCAGCAGUAGGGAAUCUUCCGCAAUGGGCGAAAGCCUGACGGAGCAACGCCGCGUGAAUGAUGAAGGUCUUCGGAUCGUAAAACUCUGUUAUUAGGGAGGAACAUAUGUGUAAGUAACUGUGCACAUCUUGACGGUACCUAAUCAGAAAGCCACGGCUAACUACGUG